CAAAAUACUGCUGAGGCCCAUCCCUAUCUAUCUGUCUGUCUAUGGAGUGGAAAGGUAGUGGAAAUCAGGAGUCAUGCACUGAAAAGAGCAGAAAGUGGACUGCUGAAAGUCAGAAAGUUGUGGGAAAAGUAGAGGGCUCGUGCAUCUCAGAUAGAAGAAAAAGAUCCAUUAUAACAAAGGGCAAAAAGACCCAGGGCUGACCCUUUAAGGACACCUUCACUAGUCCAAGUGCCUCUUACAUGUGCAGAGACUUUUUGCCUGACAAGAAUCUGUUGAAUGUCUCUGUCAGCACAGAGGGAUGGAAACACAACAGAAAGGUAAGGGAAAGGUGCAGGAGGCCGAUAGUAGGGCAGGACAAGGAGAACUGGGUUGUCAGGGUGAAAAAGUCACUGACAAUGAUGAUACUUCCUAAACGGCAUGAGUAUCCUUGACUUAAUGGGCAAGGAUAAGGAGACAAACACUGCUCACUAUAGCAAGUCUUCCUCCAUUGCGCUGCAAUGGCACUGCAGGAGAAAAAUGACCUUGUCAUGUUACUUCAUGGCUAUUGCCAGGUCAUUUUCAUAUCUUCUGCCAAACUGAGAAGUUACAUUCCUAGGAAAUGCAGAACCCAGGAUAAUGGCAGGGAAGUGGACAGUAAGGUUUUUGGGAUAAUGGAAAUUAAUCCUCAGUGAAACAAAAGCAGCCUGGGGAAAAUGGUUGUCUCUGAUUUUCGGCGGUGUCCCCCACUCCCUCCCUUGCUUAUCUCUUAAUGUAUUUGUUUCACUGUGCUGAUACCAAGUGGUAGAAGCACAGGGAGUAGAAAAGGAACAUGUUAGGAUGUUUCAGUAGAAUGACAAGGACCUAGAAAUUAAUUCAAAAGAGAAGGAAAUAGAGCAGUAAUGAAUAAAGAAGAACAUAUUUUAAGUAUUAAUUUUCUUCUCCCAAGGAAAUUGAGGAAUGAUUGUUUGAAGGAGAGAAAAGACAUGGGAGAGAAUAGAACUGUGUGCACUGUCUCGUGCUACACCAGUAGAAGGGGAGGAAGGAGGGUCCACAGCAGAGGCCUGGCAGGCUGGUGGAGUUGGAAGAAGACCUUUCCAUUUCUUGUUGUCCAGCUGGCUUGUUGCAAACUGAUGAUUGCUAGUCCCAUGAUAUCUUUGAUAGCAUGUCUGAUGUACUAAUGAGGAGAAGCUGAGGAUAUAUUUGGUAGCAUGUCUGAUGUACUAAUGAGAAGCUCCAUUCACUACUCAAAAGAGGGAUUAGGACUCACAUCACCAUUCUAGCUUGUCACUCACCAAGGAAUUAAAACCUUCUUUGAAAGUGGAAUUUACUGACCCCACGAGAGAGCCUCGGGCUAAGGAAAUGAUGCUUUAAACAUGAGAUCACUGAAAUAAAAUAAUGCAUUAGCUAGAGAGCUUUCAGCUUUCCAAGCUGUGGCAGAAAGCCACUGGGCAACAUUACAUAGAGGCAUCUGAUUCGUACUCCAGCCAGAUCAUCACAAAUGCUGUUGUCAUUUCAUCUGCUGUAGAAAUAGUGAAGAUCUGCAGAGAUUCCAGGAGAUAGAUAGCAUUUAAAGAGUUUGCAUGUCUAGUAUGGAAGAAGUUUUGAUGUGCGUCUUUCCUAAUGGAGGAAAAUAUCUAUUUACUGUCCUGGUUUUAUCACUGACAGCUAGCCAUGUUGACCAGAAUGUCUCAGUGUCUUUGGAGAAAAGAACCUGGAACCUCAUGAACCAACUCUCUCAUGAGGGAGGACUCUGAACCUCCCAAGAGUGAAGCUUCAGUUUUCAUUUGAUCACGGAGACUGAUGAAAUCUCCACUCUGGAUGAAUUCAAUUGGAUCUGAGUUCCCCUAAGGAUGGAGCACCACUGGGUGCCGUACAGCUCAUGUCAUGCCUGCAGAUCAUCCUUCAGAGGGCAGUUCCCUGGAUGUACAGUGCAAACUGAUACAUCUCUAAGGACUGAAGGAGUAGGCAGCUCCUACAUGGAGGGAAACCCAGGCUAGCAAGAAGCAGAGGCUCAUUAAGGCAGCCAAGACUGUUUUGCCUUCUUUUUCAGUGGAGAAAGAAUAAUGUGGUAACAAGGCUGUUGAAGCUGAAUUCCCUACUCCCUCAUACAUGUCCAUCCAAUAAUGUCUCACCAGGACAAGGAAUUUUUUUCUUCCUGUUUUGAUUUUGCUUGCUUAUUUGUGUGUCUCUCCCUUACUUUUGUUGCACAUCUUCAGGCACUCAUGUGUAUUUGUCUGAUCUCAUACCAGAGAUGGAUCAUGGGACCACAGUGACAAAACUGUACUGUGGGUCCUGGGAAGUUACCAGUGCAGAUAAAUGAAUGCUUGAAGGGUUUAGAUGCAACACAUCACUUCCGUGACACUGAAUUUCGAAGCAGUUAAGUGAAACCAAAUAAUUAAUAUACUUUCACUUAGUUUAAUAUCACACCCUAGUGUCAUGUGUUGUAUUUUUCCACAUUGAUCUCAGUUUCUUGCCUCUGCCUCUGAAUAGUACGACCUUGAAGAUGCAGCAGCAGCCACACUACUGAUCAUGCUUUCAGGAAAGUGACAAGACAAGUCUGCUUUUUAGAGGUAGAUUUUUUGCCAAGGCAUCAGACUUCAAAUGUUUCUGCCAAGGAGUUUAGAAAGCUUUCAAGCUCUUUUCUUUUAUCUAUUCCUGGAAGAGAAGCCUUGAGAUACAGUUCCUUCUACCAGUGAGCAUGAAGUACCCUGUUUGUUGGGAAGAUUUCAACUCCUGAUGACAUGUUUGCAGUAGACUGAUCAGAAAAGACAGGUUAUUCUUGAAAUAAGACCAAACUGAUACCUUGAAUAUUUAUAAGUCACCAUGAUUGGAUGACAUUUUCCUGAAAGUCGUGAAGGAAUUCAAAUGUGAAACCAUGAACUGCUGGCCAAGCUGUAUAACCUGUCAUUAAUGUAUCUGUGCCAGAAUCCUUGUGGAUUGCCAGUGUAACUCCUGCUAUGAAAAACGUGGGAUGCUGAAGGUUGAUUCAAUGUAGCUACAGCUCUUGAGAGAUAAUUUCCCCCUGAUUAAGCAAGGUGGACCAGACUGCCAUUGACAGAGGAGUAAUCCCUUACCUCCAAAAGACUGAGAAAAGUUGGAGAAAUUCCUGAGCUUCCCUCAGGUAAUAAAGAACUAUUUUCUGAAAGAUUUUCUUGCUUCCCACUGCUGUUACCAUCCUGAAGACAAAGCAUUCACAGGUGGCCUUUUAAGAGAAAGAACAAAUAAUCCAAGAUGAUACAGUUUAGUGUUGAUCUCCUCUCCAUCUCUGGAAAACUUCUGUCCUCUAAAUUCUUUGAUCUACCUACCAGGCAAGCUCCCUCCUAUCUCCUUGACCCUUCUGAAAGAUAUCACCCUGGCAGGGAAAGAUUGCAAAGAUGAAAACCCAGCCUAGGACAGGGAAUCACUCACCAGAUAUUCAAAUAGCAAGUGUGGGGCUGUUCUGGGAGAAAUGGUAGUGUCACCACAGAAUUUCAUUAGUAGAAUGAAUGAAGACAGCUGAGCCAGAUCAGAAUAAAAGACCAUUUAACUGCAUAUCCUGGCUGUGAGACUGUCCAGUGGCAAAUUCCUUGUGGAAGAUACAAGAGCAUGGAAGUAUGUAGUCAGUCCCUCCAAAUAUUCUUUUAGCUUCCAGCAGCCUGAGAGACAGAUGUUGAAUCUCUGCAUUUAAUUGUGUUCUUCCUCUGCAGUUUCUCUGCCCAUUUAUUUUAUGAAACAACAUAAAUGCUUUUUACUCACACUCCCCUGAGUCAAGGUAUCUAAGGAUGAAGGCAUGCUGUAUGAAGAAGCCUUAUACUUUCUUUGCACCUACCUCUUGUUCUGAUAUCUUUU
Long non-coding RNA from Gallus gallus (chicken), 3807 nucleotides. The record is from Ensembl. NCBI's taxonomy places the organism in Eukaryota, Metazoa, Chordata, Aves, Galliformes, Phasianidae.